AGAGUUUGAUCCUGGCUCAGAACGAACGCUGGCGGCAGGCCUAACACAUGCAAGUCGAGCGCCCCAGCAAUGGGGAGCGGCAGACGGGUGAGUAACGCGUGGGUAUCUACCUAGUGGUGCGGAAUAGCCCAGGGAAACUUGGAGUAAUACCGUAUAAGCCCGAGAGGGGAAAGAUUUAUCGCCAAUAGAUGAGCCCGCGUCUGAUUAGCUAGUUGGUGAGGUAAUGGCUCACCAAGGCGACGAUCAGUAGCUGGUCUGAGAGGAUGAUCAGCCACACUGGGACUGAGACACGGCCCAGACUCCUACGGGAGGCAGCAGUGGGGAAUAUUGGACAAUGGGCGCAAGCCUGAUCCAGCCAUGCCGCGUGAGUGACGAAGGUCUUCGGAUUGUAAAGCUCUUUUGGCGGGGACGAUAACGACGGUACCCGCAGAAUAAGCCCCGGCUAACUUCGUG
This 453-nucleotide ribosomal RNA is filed under the name uncultured bacterium. RNAcentral describes it as "bacterial SSU rRNA". It matches the Rfam family "Bacterial small subunit ribosomal RNA", at positions 8 to 507 of the family's 1533-position model. The record is from RNAcentral.